RNAcentral lists this ribosomal RNA (497 nucleotides) under uncultured bacterium. RNAcentral describes it as "partial 16S ribosomal RNA". It matches the Rfam family "Bacterial small subunit ribosomal RNA", at positions 28 to 507 of the family's 1533-position model. The record is from RNAcentral.
GAUGAACGCUGGCGGCGUGCCUAAUACAUGCAAGUCGAGCGAACGGACGAGAAGCUUGCGUCUCUGAUGUUAGCGGCGGACGGGUGAGUAACACGUGGAUAACCUACCUAUAAGACGGGGAUAACUUCGGGAAACCGGAGCUAAUACCGGAUAAGAUUUUGAACCGCAUGGGUCAAAAGUGAAAGACGGUCUUGCUGGCACUUAUAGAUGGAUCCGCGCUGCAUUAGCUAGUUGGUAAGGUAACGGCUUACCAAGGCAACGAGGCAUAGCCGACCUGAUAGGGUGGUCGGCCACACUGGAACUGAGACACGCUCCAUACUCCUGCGGGAGGCAGCAGUAGGGAAUCUUCCGCAGUGGGCGAAAGCCUGACGGAACAACGCCGCGUGAGUGAUGAAGGUCUUCGGAUCGUAAAACUCUGUUAUUAGGUGAGAACAUAUGUGUACGUAACUGUGCACAUCUUGACGGUACCUAGUCAGAAAGCCCCGGCUAACUACGUG